GACGAACGCUGGCGGCGUGCCUAACACAUGCAAGUCGAGCGGGGAUUUGGGGGGCUUGCUUUCUGAAUCCUAGCGGCGGACGGGUGAGUAACGCGUGAGCAACCUGCCUCAAACAGGGGGAUAACGCAUCGAAAGAUGUGCUAAUACCGCGUAAGACCACAGUACCGCAUGGUACAGAGGUCAAAGGAGCAAUCCGGUUUGAGAUGGGCUCGCGUCCGAUUAGCUAGUUGGUGAGAUAACAGCCCACCAAGGCGACGAUCCGUAGCUGGUCUGAGAGGAUGAUCAGCCACACUGGAACUGAGACACGGUCCAG
This 313-nucleotide ribosomal RNA is filed under the name uncultured bacterium. RNAcentral's name for it is "bacterial SSU rRNA". It matches the Rfam family "Bacterial small subunit ribosomal RNA", at positions 28 to 334 of the family's 1533-position model. The record is from RNAcentral.